This 404-nucleotide ribosomal RNA is filed under the name uncultured bacterium. RNAcentral describes it as "bacterial SSU rRNA". It matches the Rfam family "Bacterial small subunit ribosomal RNA", at positions 29 to 432 of the family's 1533-position model. The record is from RNAcentral.
AGUGAACGCUGGCGGUAGGCCUAACACAUGCAAGUCGAACGGCAGCACAGGAGAGCUUGCUCUCUGGGUGGCGAGUGGCGGACGGGUGAGGAAUACAUCGGAAUCUACCUUUUUCGUGGGGGAUAACGUAGGGAAACUUACGCUAAUACCGCAUACGACCUACGGGUGAAAGUGGGGACGGCAAGGCCUCACGCGAUUAGAUGAGCCGAUGUCCGAUUAGCUAGUUGGCGGGGUAAUGCCCACCAAGGCGACGAUCGGUAGCUGGUCUGAGAGGAUGAUCAGCCACACUGGAACUGAGACACGGUCCAGACUCCUACGGGAGGCAGCAGUGGGGAAUAUUGGACAAUGGGCGCAAGCCUGAUCCAGCCAUACCGCGUGGGUGAAGAAGGCCUCGGUUGUAAGCC